GGGAAUGUAGCUCAGUGGAGGAGCACUUGCCUGCAAUGCAUAAAGCCUGAGUUUAAUCCCCAGCACUGCAA
RNAcentral lists this transfer RNA (71 nucleotides) under Heterocephalus glaber (naked mole-rat). It matches the Rfam family "tRNA". Rfam says of the family: Transfer RNA (tRNA) molecules are approximately 80 nucleotides in length. Their secondary structure includes four short double-helical elements and three loops (D, anti-codon, and T loops). The record is from Rfam by way of RNAcentral. Lineage: Eukaryota; Metazoa; Chordata; Mammalia; Rodentia; Bathyergidae.